AUGUCUGUGACCCUAACCAGCCCUAAGACACUGACUAUUGGCAAAACUUCUAAAAAUCAUAGAAAUUCAACCGUAACUCCAAAUGAAAUAAAUAUAUAUGAAAAAUUGUCAAAAAAAUUCAAGGAAUCCAUCUGUACCAUUUUCAUGCAUGUUAGAACAACUAAGGCCACUGUUUAG
Molecule: ribosomal RNA, 177 nt
Filed under: Triticum aestivum (bread wheat)
Lineage: Eukaryota; Viridiplantae; Streptophyta; Magnoliopsida; Poales; Poaceae
Description: partial small subunit ribosomal RNA
Source: RNAcentral